RNAcentral lists this ribosomal RNA (440 nucleotides) under uncultured bacterium. RNAcentral describes it as "partial 16S ribosomal RNA". It matches the Rfam family "Bacterial small subunit ribosomal RNA", at positions 338 to 795 of the family's 1533-position model. The record is from RNAcentral.
CCUACGGGUGGCAGCAGUGGGGAAUAUUGCACAAUGGGGGAAACCCUGAUGCAGCGACGCCGCGCGAAGGAAGAAGGUUUUCGGUAUGUAAACUUCUAUCAGCAGGGAAGAAAAUGACGGUACCUGACUAAGAAGCCCCGGCUACCUACGUGCCAGCAGCCGCCGGAAUACGGAGGGCGCACGCGUUAUCCGGAUUUACUGGGUGUAACGGGAGCGUAGGCGGUUUAGCAAGGCACGAGUGAAAGCGCGGGGCUCAAAGACGGGACUGCUUUUGACACUGGUGAACUAGAUUGCAGGAGAGGUAAGUGGAAUUCCUAGUGUAGCGGUGAAAUGCGUAGAUAUCAGGAGGAACACCAGUGGCGAAGGCGGCUUACUGGACUGUAAAUGACGCUGAGGCUCGAAAGCGUGGGGAGCAAACAGGAUUAGAUACCCUUGUAGUC